RNAcentral lists this ribosomal RNA (450 nucleotides) under uncultured bacterium. Its description in RNAcentral is "SSU rRNA". It matches the Rfam family "Bacterial small subunit ribosomal RNA", at positions 26 to 518 of the family's 1533-position model. The record is from RNAcentral.
AGGACGAACGCUGGCGGUGUGCUUCACACAUGCAAGUCGAACGAGGUAGCAAUACCUAGUGGCGGACGGGUGAGUAACGCGUGGGAAUCUGCCUUUGGAUGGGGGAUAACGGUUCGAAAGAGUCGCUAAUACCGCAUAUGACGAAAGUUGAAAGGAGUAAUCCGUCUAAAGAUGAGCCCGCGUCCGAUUAGCUAGUUGGUAAGGUAAAAGCUCACCAAGGCGACGAUCGGUAGCUGGUCUGAGAGGACGAUCAGCCACACUGGGACUGAGACACGGCCCAGACUCCUACGGGAGGCAGCAGUGGGGAAUUUUCCGCAAUGGGCGAAAGCCUGACGGAGCAAGACCGCGUGGGGGAAGAAGGCUCUUGGGUUGUAAACCCCUUUUCUCUGGGAAGAACGCAAUGACGGUACCAGAGGAAUCAGCAUCGGCUAACUCCGUGCCAGCAGCCGC